This 4116-nucleotide long non-coding RNA is filed under the name Linum usitatissimum (flax). RNAcentral's name for it is "long non-coding RNA (LUSI_LNC006566)". Lineage: Eukaryota; Viridiplantae; Streptophyta; Magnoliopsida; Malpighiales; Linaceae. The record is from RNAcentral.
AUGCACUGGGCAUAGUAUUCGUAAUCAUGGUGGUGCCUGAGACAAAAGGCAGAACCUUGGAACAGAUACAAGCAGCCAUUAACAGUUAAGAGCAAGAUCACUUUGAGCCGGUCUGGCUGUUUCGGGUUGAAGCUCCAAGGAGAGAAGUGAAUGAAAGAAGAAGAACUGUUUCAUACAAAGAUUAUCAAUUGGAUAUAUGAGAUAGAAGAGAGUUGGUUUCAGUGUCACUCUCAAAGAUUUUUCAUCUGUUUUUGCUAUUUAUAUAAAGAAUCUAGCCAAUAUUCAUUCUCCAACUACAAUAGUAUAGUUCCACUGUUCUAACCAAUUCUUGUUAAAAUUACGGAUUUAACUUGCGAGCUCGUUAGAACCUGCAAACGAACCAAUCUCUAGCCGAAUCGAACCGAAUUUGAGCUCGAACAAAAUUAGUCUAGCCGAAAUCAAGCUUGUCUAUAUACCAAACGAGCUGAGCGAUACAGCUUGGUGACUCAGUUUUACUCGGUUUGGUUAGUAAGCAGCUCUUUGGACCAUUAAUUGCUACUAUUUCUGUCGGACCCAUGUUUCAUUUUCACUUGAUUUUCUAAUCUUUUAAAAGGAGCCACCAAAGUGGACCAAAAACAGUAGAGUGAGAUCCACUAAUACAGCUUUUGUUUAUCGGCAAAAUUAAAAAUAUCGCUCACUGAAAUAGUCAAGCGCUGUCUUUUUGUUGCUUUUGUCCUUUCUGAUACAAUCAUUUUGUUUCUAAAUGGAUAAGCACUGUUCAUCAAUUACACUAACUGUGAUUAUUUCGCUUUAAAACUCUCAUCACCAAUCACUACAUUAUCAUAACCAGCAUCCAACCGUGUACAUACAUAACCACCAUCAUCAUCCUUCCACCGGCAUUUCCCGUCUCUUGACAAAAUGUCAAUCAAGGAAGCCGUGGAGAAAAACAAUCAUACUGAUACUGAAAACAACACGAGGGAGCCAUUCAUACGGAAGAAUCAUUACACAUACGAGGAAGAUGGGUCGUCGGAGAACAAGAGUGGGAGCCUAUGGAUGGUCUACUUCAGCACUUUCGUUGCCAUCUGUGGUGCUUACGAGUUCGGUUGCUGCGUAAGUACUCUAUUUCCCCCCAACUUUGUUGUUUUUGUCGUCCUUGGUUGCUCUUGUUGUCUAAAGUUGGUUCCUUUUUUGGUGUUCAGGUGGGAUUUUCGUCACCCACCCAAGACGCAAUUAGGAAAGAUCUUUCACUGUCUCUGGCCGAGGUACACUCAAAUUUUUGGCACUUGAAUUUGAAAUACCCAUUUCCUUGAAAUUGCAGUUGUAGGAACUUUGACUCCGUAGAGUUGCAACUUUAUAAUUUGAAUUGUUGGGAGAAGGUCUAAACUGGUAUUUUUAUAUUAUUGAUCAAACAAGGCCCCCUCAAAUGGAAAGGCUCUCAAAAGAACUGAAUUUUUGCACAAUUUCAGUAAAUCAUAUGUACGGAUUUGGGACUAUCAUGUCAUGAAUGGUUGCAAUAACUUGAAUUGUUGAGAAAAUGUUUAUAUUGAUGUUUAUAAUAUUCAUCGGACAACUUUAUUUUGCAGUAUUCAAUGUUUGGUUCCAUUUUGACGUUUGGAGCAAUGAUUGGUGCUGCUACUAGCGGAUAUUUGGCUGAUCAACUUGGUCGCAAAGGGGUAAACUUCAUUGAUUUCAACCACCCUUAACACAAAAAACCACACUACUUUAGCUUUUUCCAGUUGUAACACAGAGCUAGUUUAUAUGCAGGCAAUGAGAUUGUCAAGUGCCUUCUGUGUAGCUGGCUGGCUAGCCAUUUACUUUGCUCAGGUACUGUUCCUCGGUUUUUAUUAUGAUCAAAUAAAAUCAACUUUCUGUUUGUCAGGAAUCUUAAUAUGUGAUGUUCUUCUUCAUAUUUGGUUAACAAAAUGAAAAAGGAUGCAGUGGCAUUGGACAUUGGUAGAUUGGCAACUGGCUAUGGAAUGGGAGUGUUCUCCUAUGUGGUUGGUAUCCUUGUUUAUGUCAUAAUCGAUUCAAAUUGAAUGUGUUGAAUUGAUGACGAUGAUGAGGAUGAUCGCAUAUAGGUGCCAGUUUUCAUAUCCGAGAUAGCGCCCAAAAACCUUCGAGGAGCUUUAGCUACAUUGAAUCAGGUCAUGAUCAGUGGUGGAGUCUCGUUGUCCUUCGUUAUAGGCACAUUUCUAACGUGGAGGGCUCUUGCUUUAACUGGUAAUAAAGAGAGAAACUUGCUUCACUGUGGUCUUUUUUAUAGAUAAAUCUCAUUUCUCCUGAACGUUGUGCAUUUUGCAGGACUAAUCCCUUGUGCAAUCCUACUUGUCGGGCUGAUGUUCAUGCCCGAAUCUCCUAGAUGGCUAGCAAAGAUAGGCAACCAGAAGGAUUUCGAAAUUGCGCUGCAGAAACUCCGCGGCAAGGAUGCUGACAUUUCGAAAGAGGCUGAUGAGAUCAAGGAAUACAUUGAGACACUCGACCGGCUCCCCAAAGUAAAGAUGAUGGACUUGUUCAAUAGAAGAUACCUAAGAUCAGUCAUUGUGAGUCCACAGUCCCUUGCAGUCUUCAAAGUUCAAUCCUUUAUUAGUUUCAGUGGUGGCAAAAGUUUGUAUCUUUGUUCUUAUAAAUGAAGGCAUUCUGUUUUUCUUGGUUGGUAGAUUGGUGUUGGGUUGAUGCUGGCCCAGCAAUUUGGAGGAAUUAAUGCAGUCUGCUUCUAUGGCAGCAAUAUAUUCAAAUCAGCAGGUGAAUGGAAUAACCAGUUAUACUCUUUUCACUUUUGUGAAUCAAGCCAAUGCAAAGUUCCUCACAAUCAAUUUUGGAAAUUUGGUUUUGUCAGGAUUCUCUCCUGAUAUUGGAACUAUUACCUAUGCCAUUAUCCAGAUGGUAGUGUCACUGCUAAUCACACAAGUGAUUGACAGAGCAGGAAGGAAGCCUCUUUUACUGGUUUCAGGAUCUGGUUUAGUACUAGCUUGCUCAAUGACAGCCCUUUCAUUCUACCUCAAGGUUCUUUCUCAUACUAUAAUACCAUCCUUUAACAAUGUUAACUGACAUUUUUAGUGACAUGUGUUAUGCAUUUUUGUGCUGUAUAUAUAACAGGUUAAUGAAUUGGCUCUCCACAUUGUCCCAAUGAUGGCUGUAACCGGCAUAUCGGUAAGGAAGGACCAAAUCCAGAACACCUUGAACUAAUCCGGUCUACCAUCUGGAACCCUAAAGGCUGAAUCUUUUAACACUUUCUUUCUGUUGUGUCCGAGUUGCAGUUAUACAUUGGAUUCUAUUCAGUUGGAAUGGGUGCUGUUCCAUGGGUCGUUAUGUCCGAGGUAAAAAUCGAUAUUUCACAGAAAGCUUCGCUGUGAAAAAGUAUCAGAUGAACUGAUUCAACUGUUGGUUUUUUUUUCUUUGUACCUGUAGAUAUUCCCAAUAAACAUAAAGGGAGUAGGUGGAGGAUUUGCAACACUGGUGAACUGGUUUGGUGCAUGGGCAGUUUCCUACACUUACAACUUUCUCAUGGUUUGGAGCUCCUAUGGUAAUUACUUAGCAUAUAUUGUUUCAUUGGCUUUCUACUGUAACUCCCUCCCUUUCAGAAUUUUACCACAAUUUCUUUGCUGUUGUGUUAUGGUGUGCAGGUACAUUUCUUAUAUUUGCUGGAGUCAACGCACUAGCGAUAGUAUUUGUAAUCAUGGUGUUACCAGAGACAAAAGGCAGAACCUUGGAACAGAUACAGGCAGCCAUUAAUCGUUAGACAAGAAGACAACUAUCGAACCGGUUUGGGAAUCUUUAUCUCGAAUUGAAGACCCCGAUUGCGAGAAAGGUGAAUGAAAGAAGAAUUCAACUCCUUCCUGCAAGACAAUCGAUGCACAUGUGAAAUAGGGAAAUUAGUUGAUUGUGAUUCUCAAAGUUAUCUUUCAUUUUGGGUUCUCCUAUGAUAUAAUAAGGAAUCUGGCCAUAACUCUCAUUCAGGCAGCUGGGCACCUCCCACUUUAUCUAUACAUUUUGUGUACCCAUAGCAUGUGCCAAGUAGCAAGUGUUCAUUUGUGGUGUAGGUGACAUGAUGGGGCCUAAAAUUCGAAUUUAUCGCCUUGAAGUGUAGUAAAAUUACUCUAUUGCCUUUCGCAAAUUUUUUAUUAACAUUAAAACCCC